UAUCCUGUCUGAAUAUGGGGGGACCAUCCUCCAAGGCUAAAUACUCCUGACUGACCGAUAGUGAACCAGUACCGUGAGGGAAAGGCGAAAAGAACCCCGGCGAGGGGAGUGAAAAAGAACCUGAAACCGUGUACGUACAAGCAGUGGGAGCCCCACCACCAAAGCAUUUGCUGUACCGCGUUGACGGAGCGAAGCGACGUCAAACCGAUAAAACAGCAGUGUAAAGUGAGCCGCAGGGCGCUUUGCGCGACAGCGCAAAGGCAGGCGGUUUCGCGUAGCGAAAGCGAAUGCUUUGGGGUGGGGUGACUGCGUACCUUUUGUAUAAUGGGUCAGCGACUUAUAUUCUGUAGCAAGGUUAACCGAAUAGGGGAGCCGGAGGGAAACCGAGUCUUAAUUGGGCGUUAAGUUGCAGGGUAUAGACCCGAAACCCGGUGAUCUAGCCAUGGGCAGGUUGAAGGUUGGGUAACACUAACUGGAGGACCGAACCGACUAAUGUUGAAAAAUUAGCGGAUGACCUGUGGCUGGGGGUGAAAGGCCAAUCAAACCGGGAGAUAGCUGGUUCUCCCCGAAAGCUAUUUAGGUAGCGCCUCGUGAAUUCAUCUCCGGGGGUAGAGCACUGUUUCGGCUAGGGGGCCAUCCCGGCUUACCAACCCGAUGCAAACUGCGAAUACCGGAGAAUGUUAUCACGGGAGACACACGGCGGGUGCUAACGUCCGUCGUGAAGAGGGAAACAACCCAGACCGCCAGCUAAGGUCCCAAAGUCAUGGUUAAGUGGGAAACGAUGUGGGAAGGCCCAGACAGCCAGGAUGUUGGCUUAGAAGCAGCCAUCAUUUAAAGAAAGCGUAAUAGCUCACUGGUCGAGUCGGCCUGCGCGGAAGAUGUAACGGGGCUAAACCAUGCACCGAAGCUGCGGCAGCGACACUGUGUGUUGUUGGGUAGGGGAGCGUUCUGUAAGCCUGUGAAGGUGUGUCGUGAGGCAUGCUGGAGGUAUCAGAAGUGCGAAUGCUGACAUAAGUAACGAUAAAGCGGGUGAAAAGCCCGCUCGCCGGAAGACCAAGGGUUCCUGUCCAACGUUAAUCGGGGCAGGGUGAGUCGACCCCUAAGGCGAGGCCGAAAGGCGUAGUCGAUGGGAAACGGGUUAAUAUUCCCGUACUUGGUGUUACUGCGAAGGGGGGACGGAGAAGGCUAUGUUGGCCGGGCGACGGUUGUCCCGGUUUAAGCGUGUAGGUGUGUGUUCCAGGUAAAUCCGGUUCACUUUAACACUGAGGCGUGACGACGAGGCACUACGGUGCUGAAGCAACAAAUGCCCUGCUUCCAGGAAAAGCCUCUAAGCAUCAGGUAACAUCAAAUCGUACCCCAAACCGACACAGGUGGUCAGGUAGAGAAUACCAAGGCGCUUGAGAGAACUCGGGUGAAGGAACUAGGCAAAAUGGUGCCGUAACUUCGGGAGAAGGCACGCUGACACGUAGGUGAAGUGAUUUACUCAUGGAGCUGAAGUCAGUCGAAGAUACCAGCUGGCUGCAACUGUUUAUUAAAAACACAGCACUGUGCAAACACGAAAGUGGACGUAUACGGUGUGACGCCUGCCCGGUGCCGGAAGGUUAAUUGAUGGGGUCAGCGCAAGCGAAGCUCCUGAUCGAAGCCCCGGUAAACGGCGGCCGUAACUAUAACGGUCCUAAGGUAGCGAAAUUCCUUGUCGGGUAAGUUCCGACCUGCACGAAUGGCGUAAUGAUGGCCAGGCUGUCUCCACCCGAGACUCAGUGAAAUUGAACUCGCUGUGAAGAUGCAGUGUACCCGCGGCAAGACGGAAAGACCCCGUGAACCUUUACUAUAGCUUGACACUGAACAUUGAGCCUUGAUGUGUAGGAUAGGUGGGAGGCUUUGAAGUGUGGACGCCAGUCUGCAUGGAGCCGACCUUGAAAUACCACCCUUUAAUGUUUGAUGUUCUAACGUGGACCCGUUACCCGGGUUGCGGACAGUGUCUGGUGGGUAGUUUGACUGGGGCGGUCUCCUCCUAAAGAGUAACGGAGGAGCACGAAGGUUGGCUAAUCCUGGUCGGACAUCAGGAGGUUAGUGCAAUGGCAUAAGCCAGCUUGACUGCGAGCGUGACGGCGCGAGCAGGUGCGAAAGCAGGUCAUAGUGAUCCGGUGGUUCUGAAUGGAAGGGCCAUCGCUCAACGGAUAAAAGGUACUCCGGGGAUAACAGGCUGAUACCGCCCAAGAGUUCAUAUCGACGGCGGUGUUUGGCACCUCGAUGUCGGCUCAUCACAUCCUGGGGCUGAAGUAGGUCCCAAGGGUAUGGCUGUUCGCCAUUUAAAGUGGUACGCGAGCUGGGUUUAGAACGUCGUGAGACAGUUCGGUCCCUAUCUGCCGUGGGCGCUGGAGAACUGAGGGGGGCUGCUCCUAGUACGAGAGGACCGGAGUGGACGCAUCACUGGUGUUCGGGUUGUCAUGCCAAUGGCACUGCCCGGUAGCUAAAUGCGGAAGAGAUAAGUGCUGAAAGCAUCUAAGCACGAAACUUGCCCCGA
RNAcentral lists this ribosomal RNA (2527 nucleotides) under Salmonella enterica. RNAcentral describes it as "partial 23S ribosomal RNA". It matches the Rfam family "Bacterial large subunit ribosomal RNA", at positions 430 to 2802 of the family's 2925-position model. Lineage: Bacteria; Pseudomonadati; Pseudomonadota; Gammaproteobacteria; Enterobacterales; Enterobacteriaceae. RNAcentral also lists the same sequence under 1 other name. The record is from RNAcentral.